Molecule: ribosomal RNA, 448 nt
Filed under: uncultured bacterium
Lineage: Bacteria
Description: bacterial SSU rRNA
Rfam family: Bacterial small subunit ribosomal RNA
Source: RNAcentral
UCGAGAAUUUUUCUCAAUGGGCGAAAGCCUGAAGGAGCGACGCCGCGUGGGGGAUGAAUGGCUUCGGCCCGUAAACCCCUGUCAUUUGCGAACAAACCUUGUCAUUUAAAAGAUGACGAGCUGAUUGUAGCGGAAGAGGAAGGGACGGCUAACUCUGUGCCAGCAGCCGCGGUAAUACAGAGGUCCCAAGCGUUGUUCGGAUUCACUGGGCGUAAAGGGUGCGUAGGUGGCUGGGUAAGUCUAAUGUGAAAUCUCCGAGCUUAACUCGGAAACUGCAUCGGAUACUAUCUAGCUCGAGGGUUGGAGGGGGGACUGGAAUUCUCGGUGUAGCAGUGAAAUGCGUAGAUAUCGAGAGGAACACCAGUGGCGAAGGCGAGUCCCUGGACAACUCCUGACACUGAGGCACGAAAGCUAGGGGAGCAAACAGGAUUAGAUACCCCCGUAGUCC